This 593-nucleotide ribosomal RNA is filed under the name Enterobacter sp. Its description in RNAcentral is "bacterial SSU rRNA". It matches the Rfam family "Bacterial small subunit ribosomal RNA", at positions 333 to 917 of the family's 1533-position model. The record is from RNAcentral. Lineage: Bacteria; Pseudomonadati; Pseudomonadota; Gammaproteobacteria; Enterobacterales; Enterobacteriaceae.
AGAUCCUUACCCAGGGGCGCAGCCUGAUGCGUUAGCCCCGGAUGCCGCGUGUCAUGAAGAAGGCCUUCGGGUUGUAAAGUACUUUCAGCGGGGAGGAAGGUGUUGUGGUUAAUAACCGCAGCAAUUGACGUUUUCGCACCCGCAGAAGAAGCACCGGCUAACUCCGUGCCAGCAGCCGCGGUAAUACGGAGGGUGCAAGCGCAUUUAAUCGGAAUUACUGGGCGUAAAGCGCACUCUGCAGGACUCCGGUCUGUCAAGUCGGAUGUGAAAUCCCCGGGCUCAACCUGGGAACUGCAUAUCGAAACUGGCAGGCUGGAGUCUUGUAGAGGGGGGUAGAAUUCCAGGUGUAGCGGUGAAAUGCGUAGAGAUCUGGAGGAAUACCGGUGGCGAAGGCGGCCCCCUGGACAAAGACUGACGCUCAGGUGCGAAAGCGUGGGGAGCAAACAGGAUUAGAUACAACCUGGUAGUCCACGCCGUAAACGAUGUACGAUUUGGAGGUUGUGCCCUUGAGGCGUGGCUUCCGGAGCUAACGCGUUAAAUCGACCGCCUGGGGAGUACGGCCGCAAGGUUAAAACUCAAAUGAAAUUGACGGA